Molecule: small nucleolar RNA, 103 nt
Organism: Mus pahari (shrew mouse)
Lineage: Eukaryota; Metazoa; Chordata; Mammalia; Rodentia; Muridae
Product: small nucleolar RNA U13
Exons: 1
Source: RefSeq, a predicted model, not a curated record
AUCAUUUGUGGCUCAUAAACUUGAUGAUUGGGCAUUCACACCAUUUUAUGAGAUAUCCCUCUAUCAAAACUCUUUAUACCAUCUAUAUAUUAUUCAUUUGACA